UAGCCACACAGGGAUCAUUUCUAUAGUUUGUUACUAGAGAAGUCUCUCUGAAUGUGUAGCGCACCGAAAACCAUGAGGAGGAGGUGUAGCGUUUUCUUCUGAGCGUGAAGUUGGCAUUUGGUGUUGCAGUUGCCAUGAAGCGUUUUUAAGGAGCACAAAAGCCAAGAGCAUGUCUCCUUAUCUUGAGAGCUGAAAAAAGCAACAACGGACAAAAUGCCUAAUUGGC
Small nucleolar RNA from Nycticebus coucang (slow loris), 226 nucleotides. RefSeq annotates it as small nucleolar RNA U3. NCBI's taxonomy places the organism in Eukaryota, Metazoa, Chordata, Mammalia, Primates, Lorisidae. The transcript has a single exon. The record is from RefSeq and is a predicted model, not a curated record.